Molecule: ribosomal RNA, 492 nt
Filed under: uncultured bacterium
Lineage: Bacteria
Description: partial 16S ribosomal RNA
Rfam family: Bacterial small subunit ribosomal RNA
Source: RNAcentral
AGUGAACGCUGGCGGUAGGCCUAACACAUGCGAGUCGAACGGCAGCACAGUAAGAGCUUGCUCUUACGGGUGGCGAGUGGCGGACGGGUGAGGAAUACAUCGGAAUCUACUUUUUCGUGGGGGAUAACGUAGGGAAACUUACGCUAAUACCGCAUACGACCUACGGGUGAAAGCAGGGGAUCUUCGGACCUUGCGCGAUUGAAUGAGCCGAUGUCGGGUUAGCUAGUUGGCGGGGUAAAGGCCCACCAAGGCGACGAUCCGUAGCUGGUCUGAGAGGAUGAUCAGCCACACUGGAACUGAGACACGGUCCAGACUCCUACGGGAGGCAGCAGUGGGGAAUAUUGGACAAUGGGCGCAAGCCUGAUCCAGCCAUACCGCGUGGGUGAAGAAGGCCUUCGGGUCGUAAAGCCCUUUUGUUGGGAAAGAAAAGCAGCAGGUUAAUACCCCGCUGUUCUGACGGUACCCAAAGAAUAAGCACCGGCUAACUUCGUG